GUAAGGUAACGGUAGGUUUUACGGUACGUUCCGUACGGUACGUACGACGGACGAACGCUGGCGGCGUGCUUAACACAUGCAAGUCGAACGGUGAAGGAAGAGCUUGCUCUUCCGGAUCAGUGGCGAACGGGUGAGUAACACGUGGGCAACCUGCCCCUGACUCUGGGAUAACUCCUCGAAAGAAGGUGCUAAUACCGGAUACGACCACUUCGGACAUCCGAUGGUGGUGGAAAGUUUUUCGGUCAGGGAUGGGCCCGCGGCCUAUCAGCUAGUUGGUGGGGUAAUGGGCCUACCAAGGCGACGACGGGUAGCCGGCCUGAGAGGGCGACCGGCCACACUGGGACUGAGACACGGCCCAGACUCCUACGGGAGGCAGCAGUGGGGAAUAUUGCGCAAUGGGCGAAAGCCUGACGCAGCGACGCCGCGUGAGGGAUGAAGGCCUUCGGGUUGUAAACCUCUUUCAGCAGGGACGAAGCGAAAGUGACGGUACCUGCAGAAGAAGCACCGGCUAACUACGUG
Molecule: ribosomal RNA, 519 nt
Filed under: uncultured bacterium
Lineage: Bacteria
Description: bacterial SSU rRNA
Rfam family: Bacterial small subunit ribosomal RNA
Source: RNAcentral